GCCAUUAACCCAUCAUCCUCGUAUGUCAUGUGUCAAUCAGACCCCCUGAGCCCACCACAAUCGCACAAUCACAGAUUUUUUUUGUACUCUUUUAUGAGUCCCUUCAAAGUAAAAGUCAUCUAACCAUUUAUGCAUUGAUUGGUACCAAUUCUUGCAGUUGUGUUUUAGAAAAUUACCAUGGUGGGACCUUUACUUGAUGUGAAAAAAAAAAAAAGUGAUUAAUCAGGCGCUCUGUUGACAAACGCAGGCUCCUGCAGUUUUCUCUCCCUAAUUAGCAGAGAAGAGGAGGGUAAUGAUGAGAGGAAGCACACACUAACCUAUGAGCACAAGAGCCACACGAUUGUCUGAAGCCAUAAAUCAAAAUCAAGUCCAGUCAAAUCAAAACAAGAAACUUUUCUGGUGUGGACUGUACCAACUUCGUACAGGCUUUGUCGUUUUAUCAGGUGUGACAUCAGUCCCCUGGUUCUUUGGUGUUGGAGGUGAUAUUUUGGCUUCACAGUGGACAGAAAUAAAAAGCACAUUGUCUAUUUAAUACACAGUUCAUGGAUUCUGCUUAUAUAUGGCAGUGUGAGGAUGCUUAUCCUGCUUAAGUGCUCACAAUGACAAUGCCAAAACUUGUGAAGCGAGUUAGAUAUGCACUUAUAGGUCGAUAUUAAUAUUUAGUACCAUGAACUGGCAACAUGCCAGCAGAGCCUGAGGAGCACUUAAAGCUCCUGUGGGAGGGGGUUGUGGCAAAAAUCAAUACUGAUGCCUUUGUGUGACCUGCAAAAUCAAACAAGCCCAUUAACCAAAAGAUUGAUGAUUUCUAUUUUUUUAACUAAUGUUUAAUUCCUCCGCCUACUACUGCUGGGUUAAUCUCAGGGGAAGUUUGAUACAGCACACUGUAAGACCAGCUUUCGUCUGCAUUACGAAGGUUACCAGUGAGGGGUAUAAUUGACUGGUGGAAGGGAGCUGGGGAAAAUUGUUAGAAAACAUUAUACAUUAGCAGGACCAGAUCAGCAGAGAAACAAGUGGCUCAGUUUUGUCCAUAGGGAGCGCCAAAAUCAACACAAAUAGGAAGUUACCCCUAUGAGCUUAUCAUGAACUUGAGCCUGAAAUGUCAGCUCUUUUUCAGACUUUUCUUUUUCUUUUUGAUGGAUUAUGACAAAUUUAGCUCUGAUUAAGGCACUAGAUGAAAAAUCUGAACAUCCCCAAGGUGAUAGAAUUUCAUCCUCAAGGGAGCCUGUACAUACAAAAGUUUUUGACUUUUAAUUUGAUAUCUGUUUUUGAGAAAAUUUGUUCAUGAACUAAGUCUUCUAUGUGACUAAGCAUUUUCUCAAGUCCGUGUACGUGCCAGAUUUCUUUCGCUCUUUUUGCUGAGUCACAAAAUGUAAAUAAGGACGAGAACAUCCAAUUUGAACUAAAUCCCCCUCUCAUAUUCGUCUUACUUUGGCAGGUCUUUAUUACUUAACUUGAGGCCAAACCUCAACAGCUGCUGCUCCUCAUUAGCAUAAACCAUCCUGCAGACAGCCUAUACGCAGAGUGUAUCUCCAAACAAUCUUAGUCUGCUCCAAUAUGUGCUCUACAGCUGGAGCAGACUCAAUUUUGAUUUCAUAUAAAUAGACAGAAGAUGAAAUAGGUAAGGGCCAAACCUAAUAACUGGUGGAAUGUUUUAUUUUACGUCAAUACUAAUGCACAGUGUGAUAACACAUCAAAUGGAUCAUCUGUAAUAACUGCUGCAUGUCCACUGAAUGAAGAGUGAAAAUAAAAAUGAAUUGUUACACUGGAUUAAUACAGAAAGAAGACAUAGUGUCAGUGUAUCAAAACCUUUUAUGUCUCCCUGAUGGAUUGACUCUCUAGUUAGACCUUAAUUUGUGGUGGAAAAUAUCUCCACACUUUUGAUUUAACAUUAGGACCAAACAGCCUAUCUAAGCCUGCAGCACACGGUGUGUCAAUGCCCCAAUCAGACUAAAUCACACUGAUAUUUAGGGGCUUUUAAACAUACAGUAGCUGAGCUUCAGUUUUCUUCAUUGUUGAAUAAAAGGUUCUCUCUGCAGCAAAAAUACAGAGAGCAUGAGAGUGUCCGUUUACCAUCAGUCGCACAGCUCUCCAUCAUGGCAGGCUGAAAUAGCCACAGGACUCUAAUGAAGGCCAGCAGGCUGUUUAAAAGUCUGCCGCUCGCCGCUGGGCCUCCAGCGUGACACGUCCUCGUGCGUAGGACAGUCGACAUUAAAUGCCUCGAGGAUACAGUGACAUAUGUAUUUGGAACAUCAUAACGGCACAAAACCAUUGAUAUCACUUACAGCUCAGGGGUGAUACAUCACUUAAAGGUCAGGAGAAGAGACGGUUCUAUCAGUCCUUUUCCUCAUCUAUUCUGUAUGAUCUUUGAAGGUCAGAUCUCCAGGAGAAAAAGUGGGAAGGAGAGGCUGUACAAUUACUGCAUGAAGAGAAAAAACCCUCAGAUUAAAAUCUGGCACCAUCAAACCAGCUGCUUUUAUUUCAUUGUCUGUCUGGAAACUAUUAAAUCAGAAGAAAAGUUGUCCAAAGUUUUUAAAAGAUGUUGUGUGAUUUAUUUGGCUGUUACUUAUUUUGUGACUGACAGAGUAUCUAAUUACUCCACUAAUUUACAGGGUUAAAAAAAAAACAGAUUUUAGAAACCUCUGUGAGGACUUUUCAGGACUGGAAUAAAAAGUGAUGACCAACCAAAGCAAACAGGAUCAUCAGCAAAGAUUUACUAUUUCAAAGUACUUCUUAAUGCCUUUAACCACUGCUGCAGGGUAUGGGUAAGCUCUCAAGUAAGCUAUUACAAUUUACAACAUGCCGAUGAAAUAGCCUUUUUAACAUUUACCUCAAAUCCUCCCUCAAAGCAAAACUUUUAUGGCAAGUGAAGUGUUAAUUAGGUGUUUAAAGUUUGAAUUAAAAUGAAUAAUCGAUAGCUUUGUUGACAAAUGCAGGCUCCUGCAGCGCUCUGUAGCAGAGGAGGGAUGGCGAGAGAAAACCUAACGAGCACUGACAUAACCCACUGAGAUGUGUAGCACUAGUACACACUUCUCAAGAAUCUGUUCUUCUGUGGACUGUAGCUACCAACCUCAGGGGCUGUUAACAAUUUAUCAGAAACACGUGUUUUGGUUAGUGGAAGAGCUGUGUACCUCGCAGCUCUGUCAGCCAGAUACCUUCUGGACAUGGCCUGGCUCCACCAGCGCUAUUUGUCAAUAUCCGUGGAGGAAGUCCUUUGGUUUCAGCUCACAAUGGGAGGAAAACCUUGUCCGUUUGAUGUACGGUCAAUAGCUUCAACUCAAGAUCGUAUACAGUACCCUUGGGAGCCCUCAGGUGAUCUGGCCAAAUUGCUGUUUAUUGGCUGGUUGUUGGUGUGACUUCCCUCACAUUGCAUGUCCGUGCUUGACAUUGGAGUUUUUAAAGGAGCAUUUCACACACAUGUUUUAUCCGUUUAAAAAAUAGCUCAUUAAAUAGCUCUUUUGCCCAAGACUAGCAAAGUCUUGCUAACUCCCCCUGUUCUACCUCUUGGUGUCAUGACUGCACUAAAUCAACCAUACUGCCUGACACCGUUUUAAAUGUAGGCAUGCCUCCAAUCAUGAUAGUUUCAUUGUAAUUAUUAAGGCUUACCCUUCUGAUCCCUGGAGUCACCAGUGUGAAUGGCACAAGUUAAUUUGGGUCAACUUGAGGGAAGUUAAACACAUCACACACCACUCUCCACCAUCUGUGAGCAGCAAACCCACAGAGGGCGGCCAACUGUUCCCAUUAAUGUGAUUUGAUGCUUUUGUUUCUUGCAGGCAUCCCUGGAGAGUGACCAUUAGUCUUGUAGCCACUUCCUUCUGAGCAGGAUAAUAGGAGGAAAAUGAUUGUCUUCUAUUCUUUUUUGAUGUUCCAGAUUGGAGUAAAUUUAAUCAGCAGACAAAUCCGAGACGUACCUGCACCGCCCAUCAGUCAUUUAUGUGAAAUAGCAGCAGCAAGGUAACGACUUCAUGAGUCAGAGAGCCGCCCGCAAGGUCUAAUCUUUCAAUCGACCCACAUGAUCCACAGUUACGGCUGACUCCUGGCCUUCCCUGUGCCUCGCCAGCUACGCAAGAAGAGGAAACCCAAAGAUAAUGUGAGUCGACAGCUCAGACCUGCACAGCCACAGCUUUUUAUUUAUAAAUCACAUUGCAGGGGGAUAUCUUCUCUCGCAUGUCAGAAACCCUCAAACUCUGAGCCU
Non-coding RNA from Xyrichtys novacula (pearly razorfish), 4192 nucleotides. The record is from the annotation of a GenBank genome assembly. Lineage: Eukaryota; Metazoa; Chordata; Actinopteri; Labriformes; Labridae.